This 362-nucleotide transfer-messenger RNA is filed under the name Escherichia coli. RNAcentral describes it as "Standard tmRNA". It matches the Rfam family "transfer-messenger RNA". From Rfam's summary of the family: Bacterial tmRNA, also known as 10Sa RNA or SsrA, is named for its dual tRNA and mRNA-like properties. The record is from RNAcentral. RNAcentral also lists the same sequence under 1 other name. Lineage: Bacteria; Pseudomonadati; Pseudomonadota; Gammaproteobacteria; Enterobacterales; Enterobacteriaceae.
GGGGCUGAUUCUGGAUUCGACGGGAUUUGCGAAACCCAAGGUGCAUGCCGAGGGGCGGUUGGCCUCGUAAAAAGCCGCAAAAAUAGUCGCAAACGACGAAAACUACGCUUUAGCAGCUUAAUAACCUGCUUAGAGCCCUCUCUCCCUAGCCUCCGCUCUUAGGACGGGGAUCAAGAGAGGUCAAACCCAAAAGAGAUCGCGUGGAAGCCCUGCCUGGGGUUGAAGCGUUAAAACUUAAUCAGGCUAGUUUGUUAGUGGCGUGUCCGUCCGCAGCUGGCAAGCGAAUGUAAAGACUGACUAAGCAUGUAGUACCGAGGAUGUAGGAAUUUCGGACGCGGGUUCAACUCCCGCCAGCUCCACCA